AAUUGACUUGCUUAUUGCACCACAUGUGUUUUUCUUUGAAACAAACUUGCUUUGGCGGUGGGCCCAGCCUGCCGCCAGAGGUCUAAACUUACAACCAAUUUUUUAUCAACUUGUCACACCAGAUUAUUACUAAUAGUCAAAACUUUCAACAACGGAUCUCUUGGUUCUCGCAUCGAUGAAGAACGCAGCGAAAUGCGAUACGUAAUAUGAAUUGCAGAUAUUCGUGAAUCAUCGAAUCUUUGAACGCACAUUGCGCCCUCUGGUAUUCCGGAGGGCAUGCCUGUUUGAGCGUCGUUUCUCCCUCAAACCGCUGGGUUUGGUGUUGAGCAAUACGACUUGGGUUUGCUUGAAAGACGGUAGUGGUAAGGCGGGAUCGCUUUGACAAUGGCUUAGGUCUAACCAAAAACAUUGCUUGCGGCGGUAACGUCUACCACGUAUAUCUUCAAACUUUGACCUCAAAUCAGGUAGGACUACCCGCUGAACUUAAGCAUAUCAAAA
Molecule: ribosomal RNA, 498 nt
Filed under: Candida albicans
Lineage: Eukaryota; Fungi; Ascomycota; Pichiomycetes; Serinales; Debaryomycetaceae
Description: eukaryotic LSU rRNA
Rfam family: 5.8S ribosomal RNA (bases 141-294)
Source: RNAcentral